Molecule: long non-coding RNA, 10207 nt
Filed under: Gossypium barbadense (sea-island cotton)
Lineage: Eukaryota; Viridiplantae; Streptophyta; Magnoliopsida; Malvales; Malvaceae
Description: long non-coding RNA (GBAR_LNC013111)
Source: RNAcentral
UAAAGAGUUAAUGGCACCAGACGUCCCCAAACUUUGAAAUAUUUUAAUUACAUCCUAAAGCUAUCGAUGUUACAUUUAUCAGGUCAUUCUAUUUCUAAAACCGUUAUUUUAACCUUUAAAUGACACAAAAAAAUCUUAUAUAACAUAAUUUAAAAAUGAAAAUUUAAAAAAAAAGGAAAAUGUUGUCACAUAGCCUCAAACCAAAGAUUUUUACAACACCCAUUUUUAAAAUAUUCAUCUUUAAAUUAUGUCACAUAAAAUCCGACAUCUCAUUUAACAAUUUUAGUAACGGAAGGACCUUAUUGACAUAUUACCAAUAGUUUAAGGAUAAAAUUAGAAUAUUUUGAAUUUUAUAAAAUUAAAUGAAUAUGUCACAUGCACACAAUUUUUUGUUUUUUUUUUCCUUGAGUAAAACUUAAUUUAACUUAAAUAUUUUUAUUCUAAUAAAAUAGUAAUAAUAGAAUGGUUUAAUAACUUAUUUUUUUCUCUCUUUUUUGAGGCUUCUAAAUUGAACCGUUUCUUAUUUUGGGGAAGCUGCAACCUUAUCAGCUAAGGCAGAAGUUGUCCCAUCCACACUCCCGGAAUCAUCUCCCACAGAGCUUUUAAACCUUUCAGCCAGUUUAGCCACCCCCGACUGAAACUCAGGGUCUGUUACUAUUUUUUUCAAUUGUUCCCCUUGUACUCCGCCUUCAUGCAAUGCAGCAAUAAAGCCGGACAUAACUGAAGCCGUAAAUACCCUCAUGGAUUCUGGGGAUGCUGCAACCUCAUCAGCUAAGGCAGAAGUUGUCCCGUCCACACUCCCGGAAUAAUCUCCAACAGAGCUUUUAAACAUUUCAUCGAGUUUACCCAUCCUCGACUUAAAGGUAGGGUCUGCUAUUAUUUUGUUGAAUUGCUCCCCAAAGUCGGACAUAGCAAGUUCUGGGGAUGCCGCCUCAUCCUCCUUUUUUCCUACUGCAAAUUGGAUUGAGAGCAUCAAAGCCAAUGAGAAUACAACGAAAGAAACCUUCGCCAUGUUUUUUUUUUGUUUUUUUUUUUAAAAUUUUAAGAAAAAAAAGUAAGAUAUAUUUUUAUCGAUGGAACUGAGACCAAUUUUAAAGAGUUUAAAAUGAGAUUUUUUUUGCCAAAUUUAGGGGCGGUUGAAUGGUCUGGUGCUUAAUAGCCAUACACCAUUAACAGCCAAAGUAUGUAAUUUUUCUUUAUUUUGACUCUUUUCUCUUUCUUCCCCCUUUUAUUGUUUCCCGAAAUAGGGUUUAUUUUAAUCAAGUUUCAAUGUUCUUCAGAUGGGAAGAAAUGGGACUUCAAGAUUAGGGAUUAAAACUUAAAAGGAAGAAGAUAAAUAGGGUAAAUAGGUAAUGAGUAUUUUGUGUAUAUUUCCAUUCAAUACAACUUUAAUCAUGGGCGAAGCCAGAACAAUUAUUUAGGGGGCGAAUGAAAUUUUAAUUUUUUUAUAGUCUAUAUCUUUAUAAUUUUUAAGGGAUCAAAUUGAAUUUUUAUAAUUUCAGGAGGGGCCAAAGUGUAAUUUUAUAAUUUUGUAAUUUUUUUAAAGGCCUAAAUAAUAAUUUUUCAUUUUAGGGGGGCUAGGGCCCUGCCAGCCCCCUAGCUGCGCCUCUGACUUUAAUCACCAUUUAAAAAUCUAAUUUUGACAAUUCAUAAAUGAGUCUUACAUAUUUAAACAUCGAUAAUUAAUGUAUUGAGAAGCGAUGGAUGAAAAAGUACCGAUAGACGUUGGAAAAAAUUAAUAAUGCAUAAUAUGAAUUAUACUUAAUGUUAAUAUAACAUUUAUUUUUAAUUAUCCUAAAUUCAAGGUAAAAGAUAUGAUUUAAUGCUUUUCUUAAUUAGUGUAUCAAAUUCGGAAAUAAUUUUUCAAAAAAAUAUUGGCCAAAAAACUUUACAAAAGUUAGAUCUUACAAUUUUUAGAAAGAAAAUUUUAGCUUUGAAUAAAACCGUGGUUAAUGCCACUCUUUACAAUAUUGAAAAAAAAUUUAUUAAACCUAAGCUUAGAACAUUAAGCGAACAUCAGAUCUAAUGUGUAUUAUCGUCCGUCACCAGUGACAGUUUAAUUUCAUAUUCAAGCGUACCUCUCACAUAUUAUAGUGGACCUUCCAGAAUAAUCAAUCGUUCAAUUACAUCUUCAUCUGUCUGAGUUAUGCAGCCAGUAAUUUUAUUGACAUUCCGUUGAAUGUAUAUCAAUUUUUAAUAAUAAUAUAUAAAUGAAACAUAGUUAUAUGGUUCUAAUAAAAACAACCCGGAUCAAUAUAAGAAAAGGCUACAGACACACCAAAAGGGGCAAGGAUCGACUCUGCUUUUUGGAACAGGACGUCAUUCUCCGCUCCAAAUUGGCCUCCGUUGAUACAUAGUAUCAACAAACACAAUACGAUCUUUGUUUGUGGAGUUAAAAAUGAAUAAAACUAAAUUGCAUAUAUAAUUCUUAAAAGGAAAGAAAAAAGUAAAAGUAAAAUUGAGCACAUUACUUAGAAUCCGUAUGUUUCUAGCAGAGACGAGUCCUCCAUGAGGGAUGAAAUUGAAAAGUAAGAAUAAAGCCCACAGGAAGCAGCAAAGGAUGAGAGAAAAUGAAGCUUUCAUAAUUCCCAUCAUAAUAAUAUGUUUUCUUUUCUCAAGGAAACUAUUUUAUUAUACCAUCAUAUAAAUUUUUUCAUAUGAAUGAGGGUCUUCUUCUUCUUUCAUAACAAUGACAGUGAAGCUUGAAAUUUGGUUAAGUUGGGUGUUGUUGGGUGAAACUGGUGUGGUGAUCCAAACAUACCACAACUUAGGAUUAUUAUUCCCCCACCCUAUUCGUAUUAAAAUCGUAAGUAUUCUUUUUUUUGUCGAUUUCAAACUCUGAUUAGCCUGUACUCAUAUGACGUGACAUACAAUUGAGAGAAAAUACUUACGGGACUAAAAUUUUUAAACUGAAAAGAAAAAGGAUUAAAUUUUUUAUUCUUUGAUUACAAUAUUGUUAUUUGUUUUAAAUUUCUUAUCAAAUGUCGGAAUAAAAAAAAAUGGGACCAAAGGUGUGUUCAUUUUCGAGUUUGGCUCUCAUCUGUAUAUAUUUUUAUCCAAUAUAGCUUUAAUCAUCGUUUAAAACUAUGGCUUUGACAAUUCAUAGAUUAGUACUACACAUUUGAAAAUCGAUGAAUAAAAAAGUAUCGAACAAGAUCCCGAAUCCAUGCUUUACAAAGUCAAAGUCAAGCUGUUAGAGGGAAAAAUGAAUAUGAUUUUCUUGUGGUGAUACAAGUCCCUUUGAAUAAUAGUAAAAAUAAAAAGGCCUAAUAUAUUUUUGGCAUAAUGUUAAAGUGAAUCUUUAAUGUUCAUGUUUUACAUAUUUAAACAUUGAUAAUUAACGUAUUGAAAAGCGAUGAAUGAAAAAGUAUCGAUACGGUUGAAAAAAAAUUAAGGGUAAACUACACCCAUGGUCACUUUUGUUUACUUUAAGUUACGUUUUAGUCACUUGUGUUUGAAAUGUUACGUUUUAGUCAUUUACGUUAUCAUGUUGUAACAUUUUAGUCACUGAGCCAUUAAUAGCCGUUAAUGGUGUAACGGUAAGCUGACGUGGCACGUUAAAUCAUCAUUUCAAACAAAAUUUUAGGUUAAAUUAUACAACUGAUCCCCAUAUUUUUUUCGUUUUAAGUAAUUUAAUUUUUUUCUUUUAUGUUCUUUAAACUUUUCUCUUUUUUUCCAUUCUCUUUUGUUUCUCCCUCUGUUUUCAUACCUUUCCCAUUUCAUGUAACAUAUUAGGAAGUCGAAUUGGCAAUGAAAAAAUAAGUAGGAAGUCGACUGUCAUCAUUUGCCUAUAACCAAAACCCAUAAACCCAUACCAUGCUUCUUUUUUCACUACCAAUUUGACUUCCUGGUAUGUUAAAAGAAAUAAAAAAGGCAGAAAAACAGAGGGAGAAGUAGAAGAGAAUGGAAAAAAAAAGAAAGAAAGUUAAAAGAACAUAAAAGAAUUAAAUUGCUCAAAACGAAAAAUUAUGGGGACCAAUUGUAUAAUUUAACCUAAAGUUUUUGUUUGAAAUGAUGAUUUGACAUGCCACGUCAGUUUACCAUUACAUCAUUAACGACAAUUAACGGCUCAGUGACUAAAAUGUUACAAUACGAUAACAUAAGUGACUGAAAUGUAACAUUUCAAAUAUAAGUGACUGAAAUGUAACCUAAGGUAAACAAAAGUGACCAUGGGUGUAGUUUACCCAAAAAUUAAUAAUACAUUAAAAUUAAAGCUAGAAUUGAAUUAUCUAAUUCUAUAUAAAAUUUAAAUUAUAAGGGCUUGAUGUGGUUGCAAAUAAGAUUUCUUUUUGUUUAUAUCUUGUGGUAUUAUAACAUUUAUUUCUAAUUAUCCUAAAUUCAAGGUGAAAGAUAUGAUUUAAUGCUUUUCUUAAUUAGUGUAUCAAAUUCCGCAAUGAUUUUUCUGGCCAAAAAAAACUUUAUACAAUUUUUAGAAAGAAAAUUUUAGCUUUGGAUAAAAUCGUGAUUCACCCCUGCAUGCUAGAGCGCUUUUAUAUGACAAGGCCACUCAUUGUUUCAUAUGUUUGUUUUUAAUGUUUAUUUUGUAGGUGGAGAUAACAAACUUUAAAUUAAAGAGUUAAUGGCACCAGACGUCCCCAAACUUUGAAAUAUUUUAAUUACAUCCUAAAGCUAUCGAUGUUACAUUUAUCAGGUCAUUCUAUUUCUAAAACCGUUAUUUUAACCUUUAAAUGACACAAAAAAAUCUUAUAUAACAUAAUUUAAAAAUGAAAAUUUAAAAAAAAAGGAAAAUGUUGUCACAUAGCCUCAAACCAAAGAUUUUUACAACACCCAUUUUUAAAAUAUUCAUCUUUAAAUUAUGUCACAUAAAAUCCGACAUCUCAUUUAACAAUUUUAGUAACGGAAGGACCUUAUUGACAUAUUACCAAUAGUUUAAGGAUAAAAUUAGAAUAUUUUGAAUUUUAUAAAAUUAAAUGAAUAUGUCACAUGCACACAAUUUUUUGUUUUUUUUUUCCUUGAGUAAAACUUAAUUUAACUUAAAUAUUUUUAUUCUAAUAAAAUAGUAAUAAUAGAAUGGUUUAAUAACUUAUUUUUUUCUCUCUUUUUUGAGGCUUCUAAAUUGAACCGUUUCUUAUUUUGGGGAAGCUGCAACCUUAUCAGCUAAGGCAGAAGUUGUCCCAUCCACACUCCCGGAAUCAUCUCCCACAGAGCUUUUAAACCUUUCAGCCAGUUUAGCCACCCCCGACUGAAACUCAGGGUCUGUUACUAUUUUUUUCAAUUGUUCCCCUUGUACUCCGCCUUCAUGCAAUGCAGCAAUAAAGCCGGACAUAACUGAAGCCGUAAAUACCCUCAUGGAUUCUGGGGAUGCUGCAACCUCAUCAGCUAAGGCAGAAGUUGUCCCGUCCACACUCCCGGAAUAAUCUCCAACAGAGCUUUUAAACAUUUCAUCGAGUUUACCCAUCCUCGACUUAAAGGUAGGGUCUGCUAUUAUUUUGUUGAAUUGCUCCCCAAAGUCGGACAUAGCAAGUUCUGGGGAUGCCGCCUCAUCCUCCUUUUUUCCUACUGCAAAUUGGAUUGAGAGCAUCAAAGCCAAUGAGAAUACAACGAAAGAAACCUUCGCCAUGUUUUUUUUUUGUUUUUUUUUUUAAAAUUUUAAGAAAAAAAAGUAAGAUAUAUUUUUAUCGAUGGAACUGAGACCAAUUUUAAAGAGUUUAAAAUGAGAUUUUUUUUGCCAAAUUUAGGGGCGGUUGAAUGGUCUGGUGCUUAAUAGCCAUACACCAUUAACAGCCAAAGUAUGUAAUUUUUCUUUAUUUUGACUCUUUUCUCUUUCUUCCCCCUUUUAUUGUUUCCCGAAAUAGGGUUUAUUUUAAUCAAGUUUCAAUGUUCUUCAGAUGGGAAGAAAUGGGACUUCAAGAUUAGGGAUUAAAACUUAAAAGGAAGAAGAUAAAUAGGGUAAAUAGGUAAUGAGUAUUUUGUGUAUAUUUCCAUUCAAUACAACUUUAAUCAUGGGCGAAGCCAGAACAAUUAUUUAGGGGGCGAAUGAAAUUUUAAUUUUUUUAUAGUCUAUAUCUUUAUAAUUUUUAAGGGAUCAAAUUGAAUUUUUAUAAUUUCAGGAGGGGCCAAAGUGUAAUUUUAUAAUUUUGUAAUUUUUUUAAAGGCCUAAAUAAUAAUUUUUCAUUUUAGGGGGGCUAGGGCCCUGCCAGCCCCCUAGCUGCGCCUCUGACUUUAAUCACCAUUUAAAAAUCUAAUUUUGACAAUUCAUAAAUGAGUCUUACAUAUUUAAACAUCGAUAAUUAAUGUAUUGAGAAGCGAUGGAUGAAAAAGUACCGAUAGACGUUGGAAAAAAUUAAUAAUGCAUAAUAUGAAUUAUACUUAAUGUUAAUAUAACAUUUAUUUUUAAUUAUCCUAAAUUCAAGGUAAAAGAUAUGAUUUAAUGCUUUUCUUAAUUAGUGUAUCAAAUUCGGAAAUAAUUUUUCAAAAAAAUAUUGGCCAAAAAACUUUACAAAAGUUAGAUCUUACAAUUUUUAGAAAGAAAAUUUUAGCUUUGAAUAAAACCGUGGUUAAUGCCACUCUUUACAAUAUUGAAAAAAAAUUUAUUAAACCUAAGCUUAGAACAUUAAGCGAACAUCAGAUCUAAUGUGUAUUAUCGUCCGUCACCAGUGACAGUUUAAUUUCAUAUUCAAGCGUACCUCUCACAUAUUAUAGUGGACCUUCCAGAAUAAUCAAUCGUUCAAUUACAUCUUCAUCUGUCUGAGUUAUGCAGCCAGUAAUUUUAUUGACAUUCCGUUGAAUGUAUAUCAAUUUUUAAUAAUAAUAUAUAAAUGAAACAUAGUUAUAUGGUUCUAAUAAAAACAACCCGGAUCAAUAUAAGAAAAGGCUACAGACACACCAAAAGGGGCAAGGAUCGACUCUGCUUUUUGGAACAGGACGUCAUUCUCCGCUCCAAAUUGGCCUCCGUUGAUACAUAGUAUCAACAAACACAAUACGAUCUUUGUUUGUGGAGUUAAAAAUGAAUAAAACUAAAUUGCAUAUAUAAUUCUUAAAAGGAAAGAAAAAAGUAAAAGUAAAAUUGAGCACAUUACUUAGAAUCCGUAUGUUUCUAGCAGAGACGAGUCCUCCAUGAGGGAUGAAAUUGAAAAGUAAGAAUAAAGCCCACAGGAAGCAGCAAAGGAUGAGAGAAAAUGAAGCUUUCAUAAUUCCCAUCAUAAUAAUAUGUUUUCUUUUCUCAAGGAAACUAUUUUAUUAUACCAUCAUAUAAAUUUUUUCAUAUGAAUGAGGGUCUUCUUCUUCUUUCAUAACAAUGACAGUGAAGCUUGAAAUUUGGUUAAGUUGGGUGUUGUUGGGUGAAACUGGUGUGGUGAUCCAAACAUACCACAACUUAGGAUUAUUAUUCCCCCACCCUAUUCGUAUUAAAAUCGUAAGUAUUCUUUUUUUUGUCGAUUUCAAACUCUGAUUAGCCUGUACUCAUAUGACGUGACAUACAAUUGAGAGAAAAUACUUACGGGACUAAAAUUUUUAAACUGAAAAGAAAAAGGAUUAAAUUUUUUAUUCUUUGAUUACAAUAUUGUUAUUUGUUUUAAAUUUCUUAUCAAAUGUCGGAAUAAAAAAAAAUGGGACCAAAGGUGUGUUCAUUUUCGAGUUUGGCUCUCAUCUGUAUAUAUUUUUAUCCAAUAUAGCUUUAAUCAUCGUUUAAAACUAUGGCUUUGACAAUUCAUAGAUUAGUACUACACAUUUGAAAAUCGAUGAAUAAAAAAGUAUCGAACAAGAUCCCGAAUCCAUGCUUUACAAAGUCAAAGUCAAGCUGUUAGAGGGAAAAAUGAAUAUGAUUUUCUUGUGGUGAUACAAGUCCCUUUGAAUAAUAGUAAAAAUAAAAAGGCCUAAUAUAUUUUUGGCAUAAUGUUAAAGUGAAUCUUUAAUGUUCAUGUUUUACAUAUUUAAACAUUGAUAAUUAACGUAUUGAAAAGCGAUGAAUGAAAAAGUAUCGAUACGGUUGAAAAAAAAUUAAGGGUAAACUACACCCAUGGUCACUUUUGUUUACUUUAAGUUACGUUUUAGUCACUUGUGUUUGAAAUGUUACGUUUUAGUCAUUUACGUUAUCAUGUUGUAACAUUUUAGUCACUGAGCCAUUAAUAGCCGUUAAUGGUGUAACGGUAAGCUGACGUGGCACGUUAAAUCAUCAUUUCAAACAAAAUUUUAGGUUAAAUUAUACAACUGAUCCCCAUAUUUUUUUCGUUUUAAGUAAUUUAAUUUUUUUCUUUUAUGUUCUUUAAACUUUUCUCUUUUUUUCCAUUCUCUUUUGUUUCUCCCUCUGUUUUCAUACCUUUCCCAUUUCAUGUAACAUAUUAGGAAGUCGAAUUGGCAAUGAAAAAAUAAGUAGGAAGUCGACUGUCAUCAUUUGCCUAUAACCAAAACCCAUAAACCCAUACCAUGCUUCUUUUUUCACUACCAAUUUGACUUCCUGGUAUGUUAAAAGAAAUAAAAAAGGCAGAAAAACAGAGGGAGAAGUAGAAGAGAAUGGAAAAAAAAAGAAAGAAAGUUAAAAGAACAUAAAAGAAUUAAAUUGCUCAAAACGAAAAAUUAUGGGGACCAAUUGUAUAAUUUAACCUAAAGUUUUUGUUUGAAAUGAUGAUUUGACAUGCCACGUCAGUUUACCAUUACAUCAUUAACGACAAUUAACGGCUCAGUGACUAAAAUGUUACAAUACGAUAACAUAAGUGACUGAAAUGUAACAUUUCAAAUAUAAGUGACUGAAAUGUAACCUAAGGUAAACAAAAGUGACCAUGGGUGUAGUUUACCCAAAAAUUAAUAAUACAUUAAAAUUAAAGCUAGAAUUGAAUUAUCUAAUUCUAUAUAAAAUUUAAAUUAUAAGGGCUUGAUGUGGUUGCAAAUAAGAUUUCUUUUUGUUUAUAUCUUGUGGUAUUAUAACAUUUAUUUCUAAUUAUCCUAAAUUCAAGGUGAAAGAUAUGAUUUAAUGCUUUUCUUAAUUAGUGUAUCAAAUUCCGCAAUGAUUUUUCUGGCCAAAAAAAACUUUAUACAAUUUUUAGAAAGAAAAUUUUAGCUUUGGAUAAAAUCGUGAUUCACCCCUGCAUGCUAGAGCGCUUUUAUAUGACAAGGCCACUCAUUGUUUCAUAUGUUUGUUUUUAAUGUUUAUUUUGUAGGUGGAGAUAACAAACUUUAAAUUAAAGAGUUAAUGGCACCAGACGUCCCCAAACUUUGAAAUAUUUUAAUUACAUCCUAAAGCUAUCGAUGUUACAUUUAUCAGGUCAUUCUAUUUCUAAAACCGUUAUUUUAACCUUUAAAUGACACAAAAAAAUCUUAUAUAACAUAAUUUAAAAAUGAAAAUUUAAAAAAAAAGGAAAAUGUUGUCACAUAGCCUCAAACCAAAGAUUUUUACAACACCCAUUUUUAAAAUAUUCAUCUUUAAAUUAUGUCACAUAAAAUCCGACAUCUCAUUUAACAAUUUUAGUAACGGAAGGACCUUAUUGACAUAUUACCAAUAGUUUAAGGAUAAAAUUAGAAUAUUUUGAAUUUUAUAAAAUUAAAUGAAUAUGUCACAUGCACACAAUUUUUUGUUUUUUUUUUCCUUGAGUAAAACUUAAUUUAACUUAAAUAUUUUUAUUCUAAUAAAAUAGUAAUAAUAGAAUGGUUUAAUAACUUAUUUUUUUCUCUCUUUUUUGAGGCUUCUAAAUUGAACCGUUUCUUAUUUUGGGGAAGCUGCAACCUUAUCAGCUAAGGCAGAAGUUGUCCCAUCCACACUCCCGGAAUCAUCUCCCACAGAGCUUUUAAACCUUUCAGCCAGUUUAGCCACCCCCGACUGAAACUCAGGGUCUGUUACUAUUUUUUUCAAUUGUUCCCCUUGUACUCCGCCUUCAUGCAAUGCAGCAAUAAAGCCGGACAUAACUGAAGCCGUAAAUACCCUCAUGGAUUCUGGGGAUGCUGCAACCUCAUCAGCUAAGGCAGAAGUUGUCCCGUCCACACUCCCGGAAUAAUCUCCAACAGAGCUUUUAAACAUUUCAUCGAGUUUACCCAUCCUCGACUUAAAGGUAGGGUCUGCUAUUAUUUUGUUGAAUUGCUCCCCAAAGUCGGACAUAGCAAGUUCUGGGGAUGCCGCCUCAUCCUCCUUUUUUCCUACUGCAAAUUGGAUUGAGAGCAUCAAAGCCAAUGAGAAUACAACGAAAGAAACCUUCGCCAUGUUUUUUUUUUGUUUUUUUUUUAAAAAUUUUAAGAAAAAAAAGUAAGAUAUAUUUUU